UUUCCGUAGGUGAACCUGCGGAAGGAUCAUUAUCGUAUAAUCGAGGCACUGGAGCUGUCGCUGACCUUUGAAAAGGUCGUGCACGCUCCCGCGCACUCACACAAUCCAUCUCACACCUUUUGUGCAUCACCGCGGGGGCCCUCUUCCAAAGGGGGCUCACGUUUUUACACACAUACACAAUGCAUGUAUCGAACGUCGUAUACUUAUUUUGCGAUCACACGCAAUUAAUACAACUUUCAACAACGGAUCUCUUGGCUCUC
Molecule: unclassified non-coding RNA, 260 nt
Filed under: soil metagenome
Description: partial contains small subunit ribosomal RNA, internal transcribed spacer 1, and 5.8S ribosomal RNA
Source: RNAcentral